RNAcentral lists this unclassified non-coding RNA (240 nucleotides) under soil metagenome. RNAcentral describes it as "partial contains 5.8S ribosomal RNA, internal transcribed spacer 2, and large subunit ribosomal RNA". The record is from RNAcentral.
AACUGAUACUACCUGCGGGAACCUGCGGAAGGAUCAUUACCAAGAGAAAUCUUUCAACACUGAAAGAUCUUUUCCUUUGUGCUGGCUUUGACCGUAUGUAAUUUUGGGACUUUAAAAUGGUUCGCAAGGGCCGGUCCCAAAAACAAUAUAUCAUCCUUAUGAAAUUUUUUCUGAACAAUUAAACAAAUGAUUUUAAUAAUCUGUUUAAAACAACUUUCAGCAACGGAUCUCUAGAUCGGA